UACGUAGGGUCCGAGCGUUGUCCGGAGUUACUGGGCGUAAAGAGCGCGCAGGCGGUCGAUCAAGUCGAGUGUGAAAGCCCCCGGCUCAACUGGGGAGGGUCAUUCGAUACUGAUCGACUCGAAGGCAGGAGAGGGUAGUGGAAUUCCCGGUGUAGUGGUGAAAUGCGUAGAUAUCGGGAGGAACACCAGUGGCGAAGGCGACUACCUGGCCUGUUCUUGACGCUGAGGCGCGAAAGCUAGGGGAGCAAACAGG
This 253-nucleotide ribosomal RNA is filed under the name uncultured bacterium. RNAcentral describes it as "partial 16S ribosomal RNA". It matches the Rfam family "Bacterial small subunit ribosomal RNA", at positions 524 to 776 of the family's 1533-position model. The record is from RNAcentral.